UUUCUUGUUGGGCCUUUCCUGCGCAGCUUAGGUGGAAGGCGAAGAAGGCCUCCUCCCGGGGGGGCCCGAGCCAUCAGUGAGAUACCACUCUGGAAGGGCUAGAAUUCUAACCUUGUGNGAAGCACUCANGGAGCCAUCAGUGA
This 143-nucleotide non-coding RNA is filed under the name Nicotiana sylvestris (wood tobacco). Its description in RNAcentral is "Bacterial large subunit ribosomal RNA". It matches the Rfam family "Bacterial large subunit ribosomal RNA", at positions 2110 to 2261 of the family's 2925-position model. Lineage: Eukaryota; Viridiplantae; Streptophyta; Magnoliopsida; Solanales; Solanaceae. The record is from Rfam by way of RNAcentral.